Molecule: long non-coding RNA, 2728 nt
Organism: Rhododendron vialii
Lineage: Eukaryota; Viridiplantae; Streptophyta; Magnoliopsida; Ericales; Ericaceae
Exons: 3
Source: RefSeq, a predicted model, not a curated record
AGAAAAUAUAUCCUUUACCAUCAAGGGUGCAGGUUCCAGAGAAAUUCUAGCCCGGGUGAUGAUACCAAAUUGUCCCAGUCCUCCAAGAACACCAUAGAAGAGGUCCGCAUUUUGACUUUCUGAACAGAAACAUACCUGUGACAACUUCCAGACGAUACACGUUGUUUAUCUGUGGGCCAUGGCGGAAUGCCUGUCCACUGACUCCAGCAUUCGAUAAAGUUCCUCCCACAGUGAGAUGCAGACCUGCAAUAUUUUCGCCGAAAAACAGGAACGGACGGAACUGAUCUUUGAAAUCAGCUUACAUGGCGGGCCCACGAGGAUGCCACAAGAAAAUUUGGAUGAAGGCGACCUUGCUAUUACCUUUCCCAUUCUCAGAUCUUGCUGUAAGUGUGAGUAAUAUGCACUGCAUUACUGCAUUAAUAUCAUACUCUGUGGUCCAUUUCUUUGAAAGAAAUAUGACAAAAUUACAAGCAACAAGCCAACGGGUUUUGAAUUGGUUGUAUUACUUGGCAACUAAGCUACAAUAUUUCCACCUAAAGUAGAACUGACUAAUCUUUGAAAUAGUCGAGACUGCGGGCCCACAUGGACCAGCUGCACCAUUCCGCCACAAAAAAGCCGGAUGAAGGUGAUUCGCCUCUUACCUCUCUCAGAUCUUGAUGAAGGUAACGUUUCUAUUAACACUCCAAGAUCUUGCAGUAAGCACGAGUCUUAUGCGCUGUGUUGGUAUCGUAUUUGUUCUAUAACCGGUCAUGGUCCAAACCUCACCUAGAGCUCUUGACGGGGCGGCCCCUACUGAGUUACUUGAAACCGCCCUUAGAUUUUCGCCAGAUGGUUUGUCCAUUCUAAGCAAAAAGGCACGUGACAAAGCCAACAAUCUCUUCAAAAAGUGACUGCAGGAGUCCAGAGUGCUGUCCACCUGGACCAUUCCACCACAUAAAUUCACUGCAUAAUAUGUUGUUGUGUAUCAGCAGGCAUAGAUUUUGUUCUGACUUUCUGGUCCUUUUGGGGAGCUAUCCAUGGGGGCGGCCCCUACUGAGUGUUGAUGCUGCUAGAGGUCUGUGUUCAGACUGAUGAUAAGAUUCGGAUAUGCUGCAUGCCUAAGACUCUGUACAUUUCCUCAGAAGAAGGGUAUGGUUUCUUUGUUGGGCUUUUCUCUAGUUGAGUUGCAUUGAGUUCAUUUCCCAGUUGAAGGCGCAGCAUUAUUUGACAUGCCUUCAACCUAAAUGGUCAAGUCUAAAUUAACGGUCAGGACACAAUUUUGGUUUCGAAUCACGGGAAUCAAUAGUUAAUUAAUCUUAUUUUUUAUGGACUAUGGGCGAGCUUUGUAAGGAUGCAUGGCAUGCCUCAAUUUUUCUUCUGGUGCAGAAAUGGAAAUAGUUGGGAAGCACUGAUGUUACUUGGACUCAAAUGUAGGUGUCGGGUGUGAGUGUACGCCAUAUUCGUAUGUCGUCGCAUAUGUCUUUUAGUUCUUAAAUGUUACAACGUGUCGUGUGCUCUUUAUGGAAGUUCUAGACUAGUUGUACAAUGAACUUAAUAUUAGAUGCACAUUCCAUACCCUUAAAACCCUAAAUCCAUAUGCAAUUGAAAUGUUUUUUUUUUUGUUUUUUUCCUUUUGAUGACUGUAUUUAAUUGAAAAUGUUAGACACAUAUCAGAUACCCUUAUUUAAGUGUCAAAUGUACAAUGUCCGACACGGGUACUUAAAAUUUCAAAAAGUUCGUGUAAUAAUUUAUAUAGAGGGGCACAGGAGGGGAGCUUCACCGAUCGAAAAACAGUUGGAGGAGAAAUGUCACAAUGGGAGAAAACCUGUAUGUUUGAUGCUUGUUUAAUAUGGUAAAAGUAUCAACCAAACACGAAUAUAACUACUCGGCUCAACUCGGCUCAUUUGUAAAAACUUGAAGGAUGGUUAGUUUUCUUACCAUGGUAGAUUGGAAUUUCCCUGCAUCCUCUGGCCUCUGAAGCUAAAUGAUUUUUACAGUAGUUUAUGUUGGGGCCUUGGGUGGUUUAGGUCCUUUGGAUAGGGGAAACACUUAAAAAAAGCCUAACCUAUUACCUAGAUUUCCUUAGGAUUCUUACAUCCCAGCACUGGGACAACCCUCAAUGAUGCUUUUUUUAGUGUUUUCUUCACAUGAUGCCUCUUCUGCUCCAAACAGACCACUGUUUCUGAAGUUAUUACACCAUCCUGAUGAGUACUACUUUUGAGAUCAUUGUUCAAAUCUAUAAUCAGUAGUCUGUUGCUUUAUAUUGAUUUUUUUCAUCUCAAAUACUAGUUUCUAUCCAAGGUACUCGGGUUCUAGAAUCAAUUUUACAUGUCGUAAAAUGUUAGAAUUUCUAUCUAUAUAUGAAGGGAGGUCAAGAAAAUGGUUUUUAGAUCGAGCGUAUUGAAAUACGUAGCGCUUAUCGGUCACACGAUUGAUAUGGAUAUCAUGUUCGUCGCAAUCAUAAAAUGGAUCUCUUGUUUGGAACUUGUGUUCAGCAUGAAAACCUGCUUAAGAUAGGAUCCGGCUCCUCUCCAGUAAUAACAGAGGAGCUACCCGUCCGGUUUGGAUCAGGCAUUGAACGGUGUGUGAUAAAACAAAUUUUUACAUGGUUGAAUUACUCAACGAGAUCUACAUAAUAAAACGAUUGCGAUCAUUAAUGUAGGCCCAGUAUGGACCCGAAAAAGGAGCAAUCUGACGGAAGCUCCUCUCCCAUUGCUGGAGAGGAGCCAGAUCCUUAAGAUUUGUCAUG